CAGCAUGUUUCCCAGGGCUGUGGCUGGUUGUAGCCUUGGGGUCCCCAACUGCAUGCGAGAGCAUCUGUGAGAGCCUCUGACAACUGAGGUCAGCAUAACACCUGCAGCUGCCACUCGCCUUUCCCUUAGUA
Small nucleolar RNA from Artibeus jamaicensis (Jamaican fruit-eating bat), 131 nucleotides. RefSeq annotates it as small nucleolar RNA SNORA44. The transcript has a single exon. The record is from RefSeq and is a predicted model, not a curated record. NCBI's taxonomy places the organism in Eukaryota, Metazoa, Chordata, Mammalia, Chiroptera, Phyllostomidae.